CAGUAGCCACGGGAAUACGAAGGGGGCUAGCGUUGCUCGGAAUGACUGGGCGUAAAGGGCGCGUAGGCGGAUUGUUUAGUUAGGCGUGAAAUUCCUGGGCUUAACCUGGGGACUGCGCUUAAUACAGGCAGUCUAGAGUGAAGAAGAGGGUUGUGGGAUUCCCAGUGUAGAGGUGAAAUUCGUAGAUAUUGGGAAGAACACCAGUGGCGAAGGCGGCUCACUGGACCGACACUGACGCUGAGGCGCGAAAGCGUGGGGAGCAAACAGGAUUAGAGACCCCCGUAGUCCCUGUCUCUUAUAC
Molecule: ribosomal RNA, 301 nt
Filed under: uncultured bacterium
Lineage: Bacteria
Description: partial 16S ribosomal RNA
Rfam family: Bacterial small subunit ribosomal RNA
Source: RNAcentral